RNAcentral lists this long non-coding RNA (2787 nucleotides) under Heterocephalus glaber (naked mole-rat). RNAcentral's name for it is "lncRNA (ENSHGLG00100047382.1)". Lineage: Eukaryota; Metazoa; Chordata; Mammalia; Rodentia; Bathyergidae. The record is from RNAcentral.
CCACCCCACAGCCCUGGGGGCCGCGUGGGCCAGGCCACUCAGCAGGCUGGUGAUGUCUGGGAGGCUCAGAGAGCAGCAGAAGAGGUGGCAGGACAGGUUCCCGGACACUGGGAACUCCCCGCUAGCAAGCUGUGGCCCCGCCGUGGGGCAGGCCGUGGGGCCAGAGGAAGCGCUCUCCCACACCUGGUGACGCUUUCCUGUCCAUGAGCUGAGGACGGUAUCCAGCCUGCCGCGGGCGAGUAAGCCUCCUUUCCCACAGCAGAGCCAGGAGGCGAGUCCCGACCGUGUCACGCUCUGCAGCCUGAUGAUGAAGCCCAUCCAGCGAUUCCCGCAGUUCAUCCUCCUGCUCCAGGCUGGAGACCUUGCUUCCCCGGGCGGCCUUCCCUCCCGAGAUGCACCACCGAGCUGAGGCGGCUGAGCUGCUGACACCCCUGCAGGAUGCGGGCCACGUUGGGUUCUGAGGGAGGAGGAUUCAGACCGCGUGCCUGUCUUCUUCAGCCAGCGUCACUGUCCCAGGCGAGAGCGCUGGCAGCACAAGGCCUGUGUGCCGACCAGGUGGCGAAGAUGGCUCUCACUCCCUGCUCUUUACAAUUCACGCAGCACCAGUCCUUCCCCGGCCCGGUGUUGCCCUGCCCAGUGGCUUCCCAUGAUGCCUCUUGCUUUCCUGGUCUUCAGACAUGGAUGGAAAAAGACUUGGCCUCCCUGUUUUGUGAAUAUGUAUUUUUAGAUCCGUUUCAGGCUCACAGGAAACUGAGAGGGAGGCGGAGUCCCCCUGCCCCUUCCAGCCCCUGCAUGGCUGCCCCUGCCCGUGCCAUGCAGGGCGGUGUGUUUGUCACGUGGUGUCCUGCGCUGCCACGGCGUCAUCUCCCAGAGCACAUGGCUUCUGUGAGGCUUGCUUGGUGCUAGGCCUGGCAUCCGCCCCCACAGAACACCUCGGGGCAUUCAGGUGGGCUCCAGACCACUGUGAACGACUCACCUUGGUCCCCAGUGCACACACCGUGCCACACGGCACCACGCCUGCACUUGAGUAGUGUGCAAAGCAUCACGUCUGGAAAACGGUUGGAACCAAGGGCAGCUCCUCACCUGCUGAGGUCUGGCCGUGAGGUGGCCACAGGUACAUCCCUCCUCAGGCUCCCUGCUGACCUGGGCCCCUGCUGUGUGCACCACACCUGCAGUCCUUCCUCCACUGAGGUCUGCACCCUGCACGUCCUCCACGAGGGGUUGGGGUCCAUGCUCCUGCUCUCCGGUCGGUGCUGGAGUUGACGUCCUACAGGUCACAGGGUUCUAGGGUAGCAUCUAGGGUGUGAAUCCCUCCCCAGAGCUUUCCUGCUUGCUUUGCCAGACUUGCCAGAGCAGCCAGUGUCUGUGCUGGCUGUAGCUUUACCAGAAGGGUCGCUUGAGAAGUGAGAGCCGAGUGUCAGAGCCACUGUCUGACCCCUGACCCGAGGCUGCAGAGCUCCCUCAGAGAGGAGAGGCCAUGGAGCCUUGUCACUGAGUGGGAUAUUUAGAAAGGGUCUCUCUAGGAGUGGAUCUCUGAGGGGGCUUAAGUGUUGGAAAAUCACAUCCUAAACAGGUUGUUUACAGAGCACAGGCAGAGUACACUCAGCAUGACUCAGGAGCAGUGGGUUUUCAGGCAGUAAAUGAGCAUGGCUGCAGCUUAAAGCUACAGCUGUGCACAGGAAAGCCAGCCUGGCUUUGAAGCUCUGAAGCCAGGCGCUGACUCCUCUCUCGCUGCAGAGGCCUUGCUGGCCUCUCCCCCCUGGGCAACAGCUGUUGCGGCUGUCUUGCAAGGCCCCUGUUGAGUGGGCCCGGAUUACCAGCAGUGUCCACUACACCCCUGGGGAGCCAGCUGCUGUGUCCCUGCCACACCUGUGGCUCCUGCCCACACUUGGACGUUCUGGGCACCGCCUUCUCCUAAAGUGGCAGGAGCUGCCUCUGCCCUUUGGACUUCUGGUGCAGCCCUCCUCACCUCUCAGCUGGGGGUGGAGCCAGGUGUGAGGCUCUCUGGGUAGGCUCAGUCAGGGUGGGGGUGCAGGCCUCCUGCACACCAGCACAAGGCUGCGUGAUCCGCCUGGUAGCGCUGCUCCUCCCUCCAGGGACUUCCUCUCACGUCCCCAGCUGGUGGGCUGCCGCGGGAGGCUUCCACGUCGGCAGUCCUGUCUCCAUGCACCCUCUGCUCUGCUUCACCACCUCUAGUUUUUUAUCUGAAGGAAAGAACACUUCUGUCCUUCGGUAGGGUUCUUGGCUGGCCUGAUUCACUAGUGUGGGGAGGACGCCCGGGGAGGGAGACAGACGGGGUGGCUGAUUGGUCGUGGAGCAGGCAGUGCACAUGUCUCUUGAGUUCAGGUCAUGCUGGGUGUGGUUCAUGGGCCCCAGAGCAAUUAGAACAGACAUCAAAGCUCACCCUCCACAGAUCCCUCAGGAGCUGAACCCCAAGGAAGUGUGUGAGGGGCUGAGAAUUCCCAGUGAGACCCGGCGUGUACUUCCGGGAAAGACUGGUGCACUUGUGGCCUCCGUCUUUAGGGCAGAGCAGAGAAGGUCCCCUGGGGAGCCAGGGCCCUUUCGGGGCGGCACAGCAUGGAGCUCUGCCGGGCAGAGGACAUACACUCCCCGUGGGCCCUGCUGGACACUGGUGUUUGCAAACGCAGCUCCUCCAUGUGUGGUGCCGUGGUCUGGCUCUGACACACUGCUGUGUGCAGUGCCCCUUGGGGGAGGAGCUUGCUCUUGGGCUGCUGGGUACUCAGCCCAGGGGUGGCUCAGCCGCUGCCACCCUCGUGCCAACCAUGG